RNAcentral lists this small RNA (29 nucleotides) under Bombyx mori (domestic silkworm). Its description in RNAcentral is "ovarian small RNA-24202". Lineage: Eukaryota; Metazoa; Arthropoda; Insecta; Lepidoptera; Bombycidae. The record is from RNAcentral.
UAUUGAGAGCCACAUUACAAUGAUAAGUU